RNAcentral lists this ribosomal RNA (233 nucleotides) under uncultured bacterium. RNAcentral's name for it is "partial 16S ribosomal RNA". It matches the Rfam family "Bacterial small subunit ribosomal RNA", at positions 118 to 351 of the family's 1533-position model. The record is from RNAcentral.
UGAGUAACCUGCCCUUAACUCUGGGAUAAGUCUGGGAAACUGGGUCUAAUACCGGAUAUGACUCCUCAUCGCAUGGUGGGGGGUGGAAAGCUUUUUGUGGUUUUGGAUGGACUCGCGGCCUAUCAGCUUGUUGGUGAGGUAAUGGCUCACCAAGGCGACGACGGGUAGCCGGCCUGAGAGGGUGACCGGCCACACUGGGACUGAGACACGGCCCAGACUCCUACGGGAGGCAG